RNAcentral lists this ribosomal RNA (301 nucleotides) under uncultured bacterium. RNAcentral describes it as "partial 16S ribosomal RNA". It matches the Rfam family "Bacterial small subunit ribosomal RNA", at positions 509 to 809 of the family's 1533-position model. The record is from RNAcentral.
CAGUAGCCGCGGGAAUACGUAGGCGGCAAGCGUUGUCCGGAAUUAUUGGGCGUAAAGCGCGCGCAGGCGGCUUCCCAAGUCCCUCUUAAAAGUGCGGGGCUUAACCCCGUGAUGGGAAGGAAACUGGGAAGCUGGAGUAUCGGAGAGGAAAGUGGAAUUCCUAGUGUAGCGGUGAAAUGCGUAGAGAUUAGGAAGAACACCGGUGGCGAAGGCGACUUUCUGGACGAAAACUGACGCUGAGGCUCGAAAGCCAGGGGAGCGAACGGGAUUAGAUACCCCCGUAGUCCCUGUCUCUUAUACA